Molecule: ribosomal RNA, 465 nt
Filed under: uncultured bacterium
Lineage: Bacteria
Description: partial 16S ribosomal RNA
Rfam family: Bacterial small subunit ribosomal RNA
Source: RNAcentral
GACGAACGCUGGCGGCGUGCUUAACACAUGCAAGUCGAACGGAAAGGCCCUGCUUGCAGGGUACUCGAGUGGCGAACGGGUGAGUAACACGUGGGUGAUCUGCCCUGCACUUCGGGAUAAGCCUGGGAAACUGGUUCUAAUACCGGAUAGGAGCCAUUUUUCGUAUGAUUGUUGGAAAGUUUUUUCGGUGUAGGAUGAGCUCGCGGCCUAUCAGCUUGUUGGUGGGGUAAUGGCCUACCAAGGCGGCGACGGGUAGCCGGCCUGAGAGGGUGGACGGCCACAUUGGGACUGAGAUACGGCCCAGACUCCUACGGGAGGCAGCAGUGGGGAAUAGUGCACAAUGGGCGAAAGGCUGAUGCAGCGACGACGCGUGGGGGAUGACGGACGUAGGGUUGUAAACUCCAUUCGCUAGGGACGAAGCUUUUUGUGAAGGUAACUAGAUAAGAAGCACCGGCUAACUACGUG